GGCCCCCAAUGGCUCCUGGAGCUCUGAUCAUAUCUGAUCCCAUCAUCAGGAAGGAAGAAGGGGUGAAGAGAGGCACACUCCACCUCUACUUACAUCCCAUUGGCAGCCUGCUGUGGAAGCCAGGCAAACAACCCAGGAUACCAUCCUGCCUUGAAACUCUUCAAAAACAAAAUCAUUUUCAAUCCUGUAAGACACACAAAGCAUAGAUACUGGGUGCACCUGCCGCGUGGGGUCGGGUCAGACCUGCCCUGGACUCGGCUGGGAGUACUUGUCAUCUGCAGAGAAUUCUUAAAACUUUUGUGUGUAAGAAAGUCGAUCUGCUUUCUCAACGAUGUCUGUGACAAAAUAGUCCAUCUCCGAAGAUAGUUGCCUCUUAAAAUUCUAAAUGAUGGCUGUUUCAUGUUAUCAAUACUCCUGGAAGCUUGCUGGCUGUGCGCUGAAUUACUUUUCUCAGUGUGAUUAAAGUUUUAUGGUCCAGGUGAGGAAGUUAUAGGCAGAAAUACGAACAAAGCCAAAGUAGAUGUUAAAAUGCCCACCGAUUUCAGAAAAGAGCUGUCCUCGUUUGCUUUCUAUUGACGUGAUAGGGACCACGAACAAAAGCAACUUGGGGAGGAAGGUUUAUUUCAGGUGGACCUUGACAUCAUAGCCCAUCAAUCAAUCAAUCACAGAGGAACAGUGUUUACCUGGCCUGCAGUGCCUGCUUUCUUAUACCACACAGGACCACCUGCCCAGGGGUGGCACCGCUCACAGGAGGCUGGGCCCUUCCACAUCAAUCAUCGAUCCAGAAAAUGUCCCCACAGACUGGCCUACAGGCCAAUCUGUUGGAGGCAAUUUCUCAGUUGAGGGUCCUCUCUCCAUGCUAUGUCUGAGGCUUGUGUCAAGUUGAGAAAAACUAACUGGCACACCAGUAGUUCACGUUAGCUUGAGAUAAAAAAGCCAGUUGAACAUUUUUGAAAUGAUGCUUAUGGAUGUGACUAAGUAUAAAAUGUUUCUCUCUUCUGAUCACUGCAUCUGAGAAUGGCAAUUCCAAGAACGAGAGGGAAGUGACAGCUGUGUGAUAAACAACUAAGGAAAGGCCAGUGAUGGCUGAAGUCCUUACCUUAUAUCAUAUUCUGUGGGCUUUUAAAGUCAGUUGUUUCUAUUUAAAAAGACAAAUCUUAAGACCUGUAUACCUCGUGGGCGUAGACCCAAAGUCCACCCCACUGUGGACACUUGCUUACUCCUGCUCACUGUUGCUUUAUUCGUGAUAACCAGAAAUUGGCAGUAGCCUAGAUGCCCAUCAGCUGAUCAACGGAUGGUGAAAAUGGCACGGGAGAGCUAAGGGGAAGGGUUAGGAAACAGAAGGAGAAGGGAGGAACUAUGAGGAAGGACAACUGACACCAGGUCAAUUUGAGGGGCCACAGGAGCCAUGUCUGCUGCUGACGAUGCUUCCUAAAAUAUAUACAUAUACAAAAAUAAUCUAAAUAAAGUCACCAAAUAAUGGAAGAGACA
RNAcentral lists this long non-coding RNA (1491 nucleotides) under Mus spicilegus (steppe mouse). RNAcentral's name for it is "lncRNA (ENSMSIG00000022160.1)". The record is from RNAcentral. Lineage: Eukaryota; Metazoa; Chordata; Mammalia; Rodentia; Muridae.